Molecule: ribosomal RNA, 254 nt
Filed under: uncultured bacterium
Lineage: Bacteria
Description: partial 16S ribosomal RNA
Rfam family: Bacterial small subunit ribosomal RNA
Source: RNAcentral
UACGUAGGUGGCAAGCGUUUAUCCGGAUUUACUGGGCGUAAAGAGCGCGCAGGCGGUCGUUCAAGUCGCGUGUGAAAGCCCCCGGCUCAACUGGGGAGGGUCACGCGAUACUGAUCGACUCGAAGGCAGGAGAGGGUAGUGGAAUUCUCGGUGUAGUGGUGAAAUGCGUAGAUAUCGGGAGGAACACCUGUGGCGAAAGCGGCGCACUGGACCAUAACUGACGCUGAGGCGCGAAAGCUAGGGGAGCAAACAGG